CUUGUACAGGAUAGGUAGGAGCCUUUGAAACGUGAGCGCUAGCUUACGUGGAGGCGCUGGUGGGAUACUACCCUAGCUGUGUUGGCUUUCUAACCCGCACCACUUAUCGUGGUGGGAGACAGUGUCAGGCGGGCAGUUUGACUGGGGCGGUCGCCUCCUAAAAGGUAACGGAGGCGCUCAAAGGUUCCCUCAGAAUGGUUGGAAAUCAUUCAUAGAGUGUAAAGGCAUAAGGGAGCUUGACUGCGAGACCUACAAGUCGAGCAGGGUCGAAAGACGGACUUAGUGAUCCGGUG
This 293-nucleotide ribosomal RNA is filed under the name Staphylococcus aureus. Its description in RNAcentral is "partial 23S ribosomal RNA". It matches the Rfam family "Bacterial large subunit ribosomal RNA", at positions 2133 to 2425 of the family's 2925-position model. Lineage: Bacteria; Bacillati; Bacillota; Bacilli; Caryophanales; Staphylococcaceae. The record is from RNAcentral.